AUUGAACGCUGGCGGCAGGCUUAACACAUGCAAGUCGAGCGAGCGGCGGACGGGUGAGUAAUGUCUGGGAAACUGCCUGAUGGAGGGGGAUAACUACUGGAAACGGUAGCUAAUACCGCAUACCAUCAGAUGUGCCCAGAUGGGAUUAGCUAGUAGGUGGGGUAAGGGCUCACCUAGGCGACGAUCCCUAGCUGGUCGGAGAGGAUGACCAGCCACACUGGAACUGAGCAACGGUCAGAACUCCUAGGGGAGGCAGCAGUGGGGAAUAUUGCACAAUGGGCGCAGGCCUGAUGCAGCCAGGCGGGGUGUGGGAAGAGGGCCUUGGGGUUGUAAAGCACUUUCAGCGAGGAGGCGUUACUCGCAGAAGAAGCACCGGCUAACUCCGUGCAAGCAGCGGCGUAAUAC
This 405-nucleotide ribosomal RNA is filed under the name uncultured bacterium. RNAcentral's name for it is "partial 16S ribosomal RNA". It matches the Rfam family "Bacterial small subunit ribosomal RNA", at positions 29 to 526 of the family's 1533-position model. The record is from RNAcentral.